This 467-nucleotide ribosomal RNA is filed under the name uncultured bacterium. RNAcentral describes it as "partial 16S ribosomal RNA". It matches the Rfam family "Bacterial small subunit ribosomal RNA", at positions 28 to 507 of the family's 1533-position model. The record is from RNAcentral.
GGUGAACGCUGGCGGCGUGCCUAAGACAUGCAAGUCGAGCGGGGCAGGUUUAUACCUGUUCAGCGGCGGACGGGUGAGUAACGCGUGGGUGACCUACCCGGAAGAGGCGGACAACCUGGGGAAACCCAGGCUAAUCCGCCAUGUGGUCCUGUCCUGUGGGGCAGGACUAAAGGGGCGACCCGCUUCCGGAUGGGCCCGCGUCCCAUCAGCUAGUUGGUGGGGUAAAGGCCCACCAAGGCGACGACGGGUAGCCGGUCUGAGAGGAUGGCCGGCCACAGGGGCACUGAGCCACGGGCCCCACGCCUACGGGAGGCAGCAGUUAGGAAUCUGCCGCAAUGGACGGAAGUCUGACGGAGCGACGCCGCUUGGAGGAGGAAGCCCUUCGGGGUGUAAACUCCUGAACUGGGGACGAAAGCCCCGUGUAGGGGGAUGACGGUACCCAGGUAAUAGCGCCGGCCAACUCCGUG